RNAcentral lists this long non-coding RNA (355 nucleotides) under Nicotiana benthamiana. Its description in RNAcentral is "long non-coding RNA (NBEN_LNC035714)". Lineage: Eukaryota; Viridiplantae; Streptophyta; Magnoliopsida; Solanales; Solanaceae. The record is from RNAcentral.
UUUCCUUUUUUCUUAUUGGUGUUUGUGGUGGUGCACCCGUUGCUCAGGUUCCAAAUGCUAUUACCCGACCCACUCAAGGAGUGGGUCGAGGGUAUCAAUUCUCAAAUGCCUCUUUGAGAGCUUGAGGAAAAAACUCUUAAAAGGACAAUGGGAGUCAUAUUCCCAUAGUAGGAUCACUUUUCCAAUCAGGUUGUAUUAGGCCUUUUCUUUUACUAUCAAGCUCUUAUUCUUUUUAUUUUCUUUCUCAGGUUUUCCUAUGGAUAUUGAGCUUAGGCCUCUUGUUGGUAAUGAGGACUUUCCCAUUAAGUCUCCUGAUCCAGGAUAGGCGGAGAGAAGAAGAGGAGGAGGGCUCUGA